RNAcentral lists this ribosomal RNA (748 nucleotides) under uncultured bacterium. RNAcentral describes it as "bacterial SSU rRNA". It matches the Rfam family "Bacterial small subunit ribosomal RNA", at positions 61 to 826 of the family's 1533-position model. The record is from RNAcentral.
GUCGAGCGGUAAGGCCUUUCGGGGUACACGAGCGGCGAACGGGUGAGUAACACGUGGGUGAUCUGCCCUGCACUCUGGGAUAAGCCCGGGAAACUGGGUCUAAUACCGGAUAUGACCGCAUGCUGCAUGGUGUGUGGUGGAAAGAUUUAUCGGUGCAGGAUGGGCCCGCGGCCUAUCAGCUUGUUGGUGGGGUAAUGGCCUACCAAGGCGACGACGGGUAGCCGACCUGAGAGGGUGACCGGCCACACUGGGACUGAGACACGGCCCAGACUCCUACGGGAGGCAGCAGUGGGGAAUAUUGCACAAUGGGCGGAAGCCUGAUGCAGCGACGCCGCGUGAGGGAUGAAGGCCUUCGGGUUGUAAACCUCUUUCAGCAGGGACGAAGCGUGAGUGACGGUACCUGCAGAAGAAGCACCGGCUAACUACGUGCCAGCAGCCGCGGUAAUACGUAGGGUGCGAGCGUUGUCCGGAAUUACUGGGCGUAAAGAGUUCGUAGGCGGUUUGUCGCGUCGUUUGUGAAAACCCGGGGCUCAACUUCGGGCUUGCAAGCGAUACGGGCAGACUUGAGUGUUUCAGGGGAGACUGGAAUUCCUGGUGUAGCGGUGAAAUGCGCAGAUAUCAGGAGGAACACCGGUGGCGAAGGCGGGUCUCUGGGAAACAACUGACGCUGAGGAACGAAAGCGUGUGUAGCAAACAGGAUUAGAUACCCUGGUAGUCCACGCCGUAAACGGUGGGCGCUAGGUGUGGG